RNAcentral lists this ribosomal RNA (1319 nucleotides) under uncultured Alphaproteobacteria bacterium. Its description in RNAcentral is "uncultured alpha proteobacterium 16S ribosomal RNA". It matches the Rfam family "Bacterial small subunit ribosomal RNA", at positions 33 to 1399 of the family's 1533-position model. The record is from RNAcentral. Lineage: Bacteria; Pseudomonadati; Pseudomonadota; Alphaproteobacteria.
ACGCUGGCGGCACGCCUAACACAUGCAAGUCGAACGAAGUAGCAAUACUUAGUGGCAGACGGGUGAGUAACAUGUAGGUAUCUGCCCUUUGGCCUGGAAUAACACGAGGAAACUUGUGCUAAUACCGGAUAAGUCUUUACGGAGAAAGCUUUAUGCACCAUUGGAUGAGCCUGCACUUGAUUAGUUUGUUGGUGGGGUAAUGGCCUACCAAGACUGUGAUCAAUAGCUGAUUUGAGAGGAUGAUCAGCCACAUUGGGACUGAGACACGGCCCAAACUCCUACGGGAGGCAGCAGUGGGGAAUCUUGCACAAUGGAGGAAACUCUGAUGCAGCGAUGCCGCGUGAGUGAAGAAGGCCUUUGGGUUGUAAAGCUCUUUCGUCGGGGAAGAAAAUGACUGUACCCGAAUAAGAAGGUCCGGCUAACUUCGUGCCAGUAGCCGCGGUAAUACGAAGGGACCUAGCGUAGUUCGGAAUUACUGGGCUUAAAGAGUUCGUAGGUGGUUGAAAAAGUUAGUGGUGAAAUCCCAGAGCUUAACUCUGGAACUGCCAUUAAAACUUUUCAGCUAGAGUAUGAUAGAGGAAAGCAGAAUUUCUAGUGUAGAGGUGAAAUUCGUAGAUAUUAGAAAGAAUACCAAUUGCGAAGGCAGCUUUCUGGAUCAUUACUGACACUGAGGAACGAAAGCAUGGGUAGCGAAGAGGAUUAGAUACCCUCGUAGUCCAUGCCGUAAACGAUGUGUGUUAGACGUUGGAAAUUUAUUUUCAGUGUCGCAGGGAAACCGAUAAACACACCGCCUGGGGAGUACGACCGCAAGGUUAAAACUCAAAUGAAUUGACGGGGACCCGCACAAGUAGUGGAGCAUGUGGUUUAAUUCGAAGAUACGCGCAGAACCUUACCAACACUUGACAUGUUCGUCGCGACUCUAAGAGAUUAGAGUUUUCGGUUCGGCCGGACGAAACACAGGUGCUGCAUGGCUGUCGUCAGCUCGUGUCGUGAGAUGUUGGGUUAAGUCCCGCAACGAGCGCAACCCUCACUUUUAGUUGCCAUCAUUAAGUUGGGCACUCUGAAAGAACUGCCAGUGAUAAGCUGGAGGAAGGUGGGGAUGACGUCAAGUCCUCAUGGCCCUUACGUGUUGGGCUACACACGUGCUACAAUGGUAUCUACAACAGGAAGCAAAACUGCGAAGUUAAGCAAAUCCCUAAAAGAUACCUCAGUUCGGAUUGCACUCUGCAACUCGAGUGCAUGAAGCUGGAAUUACUAGUAAUCGUGGAUCAGCGUGCCACGGUGAAUGCGUUCCCGGGUCUUGUACUCACCGCCCGUCA